Oncorhynchus kisutch (coho salmon) is the source of this 2294-nucleotide long non-coding RNA. RefSeq lists it as uncharacterized. The transcript has 5 exons. NCBI's taxonomy places the organism in Eukaryota, Metazoa, Chordata, Actinopteri, Salmoniformes, Salmonidae. The record is from RefSeq and is a predicted model, not a curated record.
ACUUCCGUUGAGCUGUAAAAUCAGGAAGGAUGCUGGAGGGUUGGGUUUCCACUAGUUACCACAGCCACAGAGUCAAAAUGGACUAUAUCGUUAAAAAAACGUUUUUUGGGGCUACAUUUAAGGUGAGGCAUAAAGUUAGCAGUGUGGUUAGAGUUAGGUUUAAAAUCAGAUUGUACGAAUAACAAUUGUAGAAAUGGGCGGGGUGUAGCCAUAAUUAUGACUUUGUGGUUGUGGUAACUAGUGACGACCAGAGGUUUAAUGUACAGCCAAAGAUACUCCAUUCUCUACUAUCUCUGAUACAGUUUAUCUGUGACAAAAUGUCGAUGACAACUAUGUAGAAGGUUACUCUGAUUUUCUGCUCUGUCCUCUGUGUUUCGUUUUUCCUUCCCUAAAUAAUUUUCCCGAGAGGGAAGAAUGAUGUAGGGCAGCCCGAGGUUGGUCCUGGGUAUUAUCCUCCCAUGAUGCAUCGCCUACAGAUGCCAGAGGAGGGCCUCGGACAGUGGAUGGAGGGGACUCAUGACUCUGGGCCCCACAGCCCUGAGGUCCUGGCUAAAGUCAAAGGCAUGGGCACACUUCAGAUCCGAGGAGCCACUAAAUCCAAUCGGAUCAGCCAGGCCAUUCCCAUCUACGGAUUUGGAAUCCUACUCUACAUCCUCUUCAUCAUAUUCUAGAUAAGCUGCACAAUGUCCACCCUAGACUGGCUCAGUCAAAUGGAUAGACAAACUAUUUAGAGGCAGGAAUGUAGAAGAAGUAGACUAUUACAGUUUUUAACAGCAUCCAUGUAAUACCUGUACUGGCUAGGAGUCCAGUGCAUCCAGUACAUUACAAGGUGUGCAUACCAUAAAUGCAUUGUUGUAUUCACAGAUGACAACUAGGCCUAAAGGAAAAAGUACUAAACUGGUAUGCCAAUUUCCUACAAUGACAUUUGAAGCUUGGCAGAAGAGGAGGAAUGAUGAGCUGGCCCAGCUUCAGGAGAAGCUGCUGGAGACAGAGGGUGAAGUAGAGGAUCGUCUCCAGAAGGAGCAGCACUCCUAACAGCACGACUAGCAGCAAGGUUAGAAGAGCAUCCAAGCAGGAGAAGUUACUGCGGAAGCGGAGUAAGAUCAGCCGGGUAAUGCAGGAGGUACGACUGAUGGAGGGGGCCACACCUGAGAUGGUGCCCUAUGCUGCUGACUGAGAGGGCUACCCUGAGGAGACCUACCCCCAGUAUAAGGAGCCCGGAGGCAGGCGCAGCGGCAGUUAUGACCCCAUCACCAUCCUGGAGGAGCCUGCUGCUGACUCAGAUACCCACUGCCGAGGCCCUGGCUGAGGAGGUGGUGGAUGAGGACACAGAGGAGGAGGAGGAGCAGUAGCUCUGUCCGCCCCCACCUCCUGAAGGAGGAAUGGAAGAAACGGGUAGUAGUCCCACCAGAGUAAAAAAGCUAAAUCAGAUUCAGCGACCACAAAGAUGUGUUUCACUACCCUAAGCAGGAUACGGUCUAUGAAUAUAGGUAUGAAGAGGAGAAGGAAGAGAGGAGGAGGAAGAGGAGCAAGUGGAUGAGAGAGGAAGAGGGAGUAGUAGGUGAUGAAGACCCACUGAUGGAGGCCGAGUCUCUCAGUUUUAGUUGUGAUGUCUAGUAAUCCAGAAGCAGAAGAAGAGAUGGAAGAAGAGUACAUUCUACUGUCUCAGUCUGAAGAGACAGACAGCUUCACCCCACCAGAUAGGUCUGGGGAGCUGGGGAUUGGGAGUUCUCUCAGGUUGAGGAACAGGAGAGAGAGACAGAGGGCAGAGUCAAUGAGGAAACUAGUUCAUCCUAAACUUGCCUCUCUAGCCCUUUGACCUUACUGAAUGUUCUGAAUAUUCCCAAGAAUGUACCUCUCCUUAUGCAGAUCCCCGUUUUCUAUCCUGUCUCCUUGCGUCCCAAGACAGAAUAUGCUGUUCAGUGGGUGAAUUUUGUGAUCCUAACUAGACUACCUAAUACCCUAAUAUUCAUGCUGCUUUAAAGAAAACCAUUUACCCACAAUUCAUCAUGUCCUUUGAUGGUAGACAUCAAACUGACUAACUUUAUUCCAAUAUGGCAGUCAAGCAUUGUAGAGACCCUGGUGUCCUCUGGGAUAGAUUGUAAACAGAGAGAGAGCAGGGACCCACAUAAAUGAGUAAACAGAGGUAGAUCGUUCAAGUCCAGCUUUUGUAUCUCAGACUAUUAAAGAGGACACAUUCUAUUAAAAGGUCAUAUGAAAAAUAUUUUUUCAAACCAGCAACUAUUAAGCCCAGAAUGUAUUCGUAAUAAAAAAUGAAUUGUCCAUGAGUUGUA